AACGCACCUUGCGCCCCUUGGCAUUCCGAGGGGCACACCCGUUUGAGUGUCGUGAAAUUCUCAAAACCUUUCUUUUGGUCUUAUCGAUCGGGGGAAGGGUUUUGGACUUGGAGGCUUUUGCUGGUUUCAUCUUGAAGCGAGCUCCUCCCAAACGAAUUAGUGGGGUCCGCUUUGCCGAUCCUUGACGUGAUAAGAUGUUUUCUACGUCUUGGGUUUGGCACUGUCACUUGGGCACCUGCUUCUAACCGUCUCAUUGACAAUGAUGGCGUUCCGGUCACCGCCGUUUAAUCGGCGGGAGGCUUGACCCACAAAAAACCUUGACCUCAAAUCGGGUGAGACUACCCGCUGAACUUAA
RNAcentral lists this unclassified non-coding RNA (355 nucleotides) under Typhula sp. RNAcentral describes it as "partial contains 5.8S ribosomal RNA, internal transcribed spacer 2, and large subunit ribosomal RNA". The record is from RNAcentral. Lineage: Eukaryota; Fungi; Basidiomycota; Agaricomycetes; Agaricales; Typhulaceae.